This 296-nucleotide long non-coding RNA is filed under the name Ananas comosus (pineapple). Its description in RNAcentral is "long non-coding RNA (ACOM_LNC024172)". Lineage: Eukaryota; Viridiplantae; Streptophyta; Magnoliopsida; Poales; Bromeliaceae. The record is from RNAcentral.
UGAAGUUACGGUGUACAUUUGGUUGAAGAGCCAUUAGAAUGGUUUCGAUGAAGUUCGGUAAGGUUCGGGAGCAUUCGGGCGUUUCGGUACGCGUAGGCGCGGAAACAGAACCCGAAAGGCUAUGUUGGUCCGUGGACUAAAUCCGGCGUUAGUGUGAAUGAAAAGAUGAUGAAAACAUGUUUGGAGAGUCUCGGUUCGAUUUGAAAUGAAUCGGAGGUCAAACGAGCGAAAACGAGUGAAAACGGACGAAGCUGAAAUUUGGCUAAGUCUGCGCCGGAGGUCCCUCUGGGACCGGU